GCAUUAGCUAGACGGCGGGGUGACGGCCCACCGUGGCGACGAUGCGUAGGGGUUCUGAGAGGAAGGCCCCCCACACUGGGACUGAGACACGGCCCAGACUCCUACGGGAGGCAGCAGUGAGGAAUAUUGGUCAAUGGGCGGAAGCCUGAACCAGCCAAGUCGCGUGAGGGAUUAAGGCCCUGCGGGUCGUAAACCUCUUUUGCCGGGGAGCAGUGGUCCGGACGCGUCCGGGCCGGGAGAGUACCCGGAGAAAAAGCAUCGGCUAACUCCGUGCCAGCAGCCGCGGUAAUACGGAGGAUGCGAGCGUUAUCCGGAUUUAUUGGGUUUAAAGGGUGCGUAGGCGGGCAUUUAAGCCGGCGGUCAAAUGUCGGGGCUCAACCCCGGCCUGCCGUCGGAACUGGGUGCCUUGAGUGGGCGAGAAGUAUGCGGAAUGCGUGGUGUAGCGGUGAAAUGCAUAGAUAUCACGCAGAACCCCGAUUGCGAAGGCAGCAUACCGGCGCCCUACUGACGCUGAGGCACGAAAGUGCGGGUAUCGAACAGGAUUAGAUACCCUGGUAGUCCGCACAG
RNAcentral lists this ribosomal RNA (567 nucleotides) under uncultured bacterium. RNAcentral describes it as "bacterial SSU rRNA". It matches the Rfam family "Bacterial small subunit ribosomal RNA", at positions 238 to 802 of the family's 1533-position model. The record is from RNAcentral.